UUAUAACUAGUAUUUUUAAAAAAAAAAGAAUAUUAAAUGAGGGCGUAUUCAAAAGUAAAGCAAAAAGAGCAAAAGGAGUAAAAGGAGCAAAAGGAGCAGAAGGAGCAAAAGGAGCAAAAGGAGCAAAAGGAGCAGAAGGAGUAAAAAAGGCAAAAAGAAAUAAACAUGGUCAAGUAAACGAUUUUAAAUCUGGUCAUAUAAAAUCAGUUCAGGAAAAGCCCAAUCAAGAAAAAUCGAACGAGACAAAUGAAAAAAAAAAACUAACAGAUUCCUACUCAGACUCACUACCAACAGAUAAAAAAGUAAUCGACAACAUUAAAUUAUUAAAAAAUGAAAAAAAAAGUGCUAAUAAAGCUGGAGGUAAUAAUAUAGCUAGUAGUAACAUGCAAAUAGAAAAAAAAACAAAACAUAUAACAAAUGGUAUUAACAAAUCAACAGAUAUCCAUAAUCAUGAUAAAACAAAUAAACAGUUUAUAUCCUCAAGUUCAGGCUGUAGCAAUAUGAUUAAGGAAAAAACAAAUAAGUCAUUUAGCAUGUGUCACACUGAUAGUAAUAAUAGUAAUGAUGAUGGAAACAUGUGUUUAGAGUCAUUUGAACCUAUUUAUUCAUUCAGCUCUUCAUCUGCACAAUCAGAUAAAAGUGACAUAUCUAACCUUUCUCCUGACCCAUUGUUUUUAGAAAAGCAAUUUAAAUAUAUUUAUGACUUGUACAGACAUAAUGAUCAAAACAUUUUUUUAUUUUAUAAUCCUCCCAUAUGUAAAUGUAUCAACAAACCAUUAAAAGAAAAAUAUAUUCGAAGUUUAAAUAAUAAAUACCCUUGCCUUUUUAAUUGUACAUUGACACAUUAUAAUGAAAAUGAAAAGAAUUUUGAUAAUUAUUAUGAAGGAGGAAAAACAAGUGGGAAUAAAAGUGUUUCGAAUAUAAACCUAGCCAAAAUAAAUGUUUCUGAUACGGUUGCUACUCUUACCGAAAUUGCUCACACUGACGGUAUCCAAACCAACGUUGCUCAUACCAAAGUUUGUGACAUAACUUCUGCUAAUAACCCUUUAAACAAUCAUCCUGAGAAAACUUUGUUGACCUAUGGUGAUGUAGCAUCUGGCGCCGUUGAAAUGAAACUUUAUGCUAAAGCAAUAUUUGAAUUAUAUUUAUAUCAAAAAUAUUAUAGUAACAAAGAUAUGAAGAGUGGUAAAAAUAAUAAAAAUAAAAUAAUAUUGAAUGAUUGUAAUAAUUUUAAUAGUACAUAUGUAGAAAAUAAAAAUUGUUCUGCACAUGUUAAAAGAAAAAGGAAAAAACAAGAAGAUAGCAAUAACGAUGAAAUAAAAGAGUCUACAUCAUCAUUAAAUAAUAAGAGUGGUAAAAAAAAUAAAAUAAAUGAGAAAGAACAACCGAUUGAAACGAACAGAAACGGAAAAAUGUGGAAAAGCGAUAAUCAUAAUGUUGAUGAUGAAGAAGAAGAAGAAGAAGAAGAAGAAGAAGAAGAAGAAAAUUAUUUUUUAAGAACUUAUUUUUUUAAAUGUUUAUACAAAUUUUUAAAAAAGAAAUCGCUCACAUGCAAUGAUAAGGAUUGUUGUGGUUUAUUAUAUGUACCAUACAGUUAUAUUGUUGUCCUUUUAAAUAGAAAACUAGAAAGCUUAACAUACAUAUGUACAGAAUUAGAUUUACCAUCGAACACAGACAUAUAUUAUAAUAACAAAAAAAAUGUUAUUACUAUAUGUACUUUAAAUUUAGAGCAUGAAUUUUUUAGUUACUAUUGUUUAAAAAAUAAUAGUUAUGUUAAAAAUAUUUUAAUUUAUGAUAUAAAAUAUGAAGGAUUUUUACCUUUUUUUAAACCUAUUUUAAAUUUAAAAAAUAAAAAGAAUCAAGAUGAAAUUAUAAACUAUAUAAAUUAUAAUAAAAAUGCUAACUUGUCCAUAGUAUUCUUUUUAACAAAGUCUGGAAAAAAAACAAACGAGGAAACGUGUGAGUCAGAGUGUAGUUUUAUUAACGCAAGUAUGGUUGAGCAGGCGAAGGUGGACACGAAGAUGGACACAAAAAUGGACACAAAAAUGGACACAAAAAUGGACACAAAAAUGGACACAAAAAUGGACACAAAAAUUGACACAAAAAUGGACACAAAAAUGGACACAAAAAUGGACACAAAAAUNNNNNNNNNNGACACAAAAAUGGACACAAAAAUGGACACAAAAAUGGACACAAAAAUUGACACAAACAUAGGCACAAACAUGGACAUAUCUAAAGAAGAAAAUAUCAAGAAUAUCAACAUGAACGUUCAGCAAAAUAAUAUUGAUAUGGAGAAUACUGCCGAUGGAAAAAAUGUUUAUAAUGUAUGUGUAAGUGGUGAAGAUGGCAAAAAUUAUAAAAAAUUAACGAACAUGAAGCUGCGCAUUUGUAAAAUUUAUAAUAUAAACCAUAAAAACGAAUAUAAAAAGAGUAAUACUAACAUAAACAAAAAUGAUGAAGAAGAUGCUGAAAUGUAUUUUAAUAAUAUAUGUAAUGGACGAGAGGUUAUAAAUAAUAUGAAUAUAAAUAUCGUAGUAGAAAAUAUUUUAAAAUUAAUAAGUAAAAAAAAUAAUAUAUGUCAUAAAAAAUGUAUUUAUAAUAAUUAUAAUAAAAAUUUAAUGAAAAAUAAACAAAUACAAAUAUAUUUAUGUGAGGCUAUUAAUUCAUUCGGUUUUAAUCGUAGAUCAUUUAGUAUUAAAAAAAGGGAAAUUAUUAAUUCAUCUUAUGUUCAUUUUCAAAAAACGAUUGAAAAUUAUUAUUUACAGAAGCAUUCCAAUAAAUUGACUGACGUUGUUUCAUAUCACCUGAGUCAGGACGUUUUUAAACAUGGCAUAAUGAAAAAAAAAAUGAAAUUGGAUUGUGGUGGUGGUGGUGGUGGUGGUGAUACUGCUACAGCUGCUACUGCUGCUACUACUGCUGCUACUGCUGCUACUACUAACAACCUAGAUGAACAAGAUAAAAAAAGUGAACAUUUUGCCAUUGAUAACAAUAAUGAUAAAGUAGCUAUAGUGGACAAAUUAAAUGGUGCAAAUAUUAUGAGUAGUCAUGAAUAUAAUAAAAAAGAAAAAAAAAAAUACUUAUUUACAUUAAUAGACGAAAUAAAAGCUAAAGAUAACAAUAAAACUGAUGCAUCAGAUGACAACUUAUUUGCAUUUAAUGAUAAUCCAGAUUUAUACAAUGCAAAAAGUGAUAAAGAUGAUAAAUUAGAUGUGCUAAUCAAAGAAAAUAAUUUAAAAAAUGAAUUUAAAAAAACAUUAAUAACACCACCUACUGCCGAUAAUAAAUUAUGGAAUGACUUAUGUGCAAAAUAUCUACAAGCAUUAUUUAAUGUAUAUGUAUGUUCUUAUUUACUUGAGCAAGGGAACUAUAGCUCGAAAUUGAAUAAAGACAAUAUAUUGUUACAACCUAUACAAAAUAAUGGUAAAACAAGGAAAAGUAAAAACAAUAAACAACAAACAUUGUCUUCUUAUAGUUACAAAUUAAACAUUAUCAAAAAAUAUUACUAUUACUUAUUUCAUUUAUAUAAACAAAAAUUUAAUAUUCAGUUAUCAACAGAAGAAGAAAAAACAUUACAUGAAGAUGUAUGGAAAAAAGAAAAUACUUAUUUACUAUAUAAAGGUAAGAGGCAAGGGAAUAUAAAGAAAAGAAAAAAAAAAAAAAAAAAAAAAAAAAAAAUGGCACACGAGCGAAAUUGGCUAACGAGAAUAGCAAAAUUAAUAGACCAACAUAACAUACGGACAAAAUGAGAAGAUAUUAUUUUUAUUUUUUUGUUUUAUCCAAUAGGUUAGAUUUUAAUGGGAAUCACAGCGUACAUAUAGUUGUCUUAUGCCAUUUAUCCACU
RNAcentral lists this long non-coding RNA (3841 nucleotides) under Piliocolobus tephrosceles (Ugandan red Colobus). RNAcentral describes it as "lncRNA (ENSPTEG00000009636.1)". The record is from RNAcentral. Lineage: Eukaryota; Metazoa; Chordata; Mammalia; Primates; Cercopithecidae.